GACGUAGGGGGCGAGCGUUGUCCGGAUUUAUUGGGCGUAAAGAGCUCGUAGGUGGCUUGUCGCGUCGGUUGUGAAAACCUGCAGCUUAACUGUGGGCGUGCAGCCGAUACGGGCGGGCUAGAGGCAGGUAGGGGAGAGUGGAACUCCUGGUGUAGCGGUGAAAUGCGCAGAUAUCAGGAAGAACACCGGUGGCGAAGGCGGCUCUCUGGACCUGUUCUGACGCUGAGGAGCGAAAGCGUGGGGAG
This 245-nucleotide ribosomal RNA is filed under the name uncultured Actinocatenispora sp. RNAcentral describes it as "partial 16S ribosomal RNA". It matches the Rfam family "Bacterial small subunit ribosomal RNA", at positions 524 to 768 of the family's 1533-position model. Lineage: Bacteria; Bacillati; Actinomycetota; Actinomycetes; Micromonosporales; Micromonosporaceae. The record is from RNAcentral.